UACGGGGGGGGCAAGCGUUGUUCGGAAUUACUGGGCGUAAAGCGCGUGUAGGCGGUUCGUAAAGUCGGAUGUGAAAGCCCUGGGCUUAACCCAGGAAGUGCAUUCGAAACUCACGAACUUGAGUCCCGGAGAGGAAGGCGGAAUUCUCGGUGUAGAGGUGAAAUGCGUAGAUAUCGGGAGGAACACCAGUGGCGAAGGCGACUACCUGGCCUGUUCUUGACGCUGAGGCGCGAAAGCUAGGGGAGCAAACGGG
This 253-nucleotide ribosomal RNA is filed under the name uncultured bacterium. RNAcentral's name for it is "partial 16S ribosomal RNA". It matches the Rfam family "Bacterial small subunit ribosomal RNA", at positions 524 to 776 of the family's 1533-position model. The record is from RNAcentral.